This 90-nucleotide microRNA precursor is filed under the name Callithrix jacchus (white-tufted-ear marmoset). Its description in RNAcentral is "microRNA cja-mir-9984 precursor (cja-mir-9984-2)". Lineage: Eukaryota; Metazoa; Chordata; Mammalia; Primates; Cebidae. The record is from miRBase by way of RNAcentral.
UGCGCCGCGGCGGCGGCGGCGGCGGCGCGGGCUCUGGGGCUGGUGUUUGGCGGCGCCAGAGCAGCGGAUCCUGGUCUCGCCGCGGCAGCA